CCCCUGGUGGUGUAGUGGUUAGGAUGCAGCACCCUCACUGCUGUGGCCCGGGUUCAAUUCCUGGUCAGGGAA
Non-coding RNA from Manacus vitellinus (golden-collared manakin), 72 nucleotides. The record is from Rfam. Lineage: Eukaryota; Metazoa; Chordata; Aves; Passeriformes; Pipridae.